GAGUUUGAUCUUGGCUCAGAUUGAACGCUGGCGGCAUGCCUAACACAUGCAAGUCGAACGGCAGCGCGGGGGCAACCCUGGCGGCGAGUGGCGGACGGGUGAGGAACACAUAGGAAUCUACCUCAACGUGGGGGAUAACGUAGGGAAACUUACGCUAAUACCGCAUACGACCGAGAGGGGAAAGCGGCGGACCGCAAGGCGUCGCGCGGUGAGAUGAGCCUAUGUCCGAUUAGCUAGUUGGCGGGGUAAGAGCCCACCAAGGCGACGAUCGGUAGCUGGUCUGAGAGGAUGAUCAGCCACACUGGGACUGAGACACGGCCCAGACUCCUACGGGAGGCAGCAGUGGGGAAUAUUGGACAAUGGGCGCAAGCCUGAUCCAGCAAUGCCGCGUGGGUGAAGAAGGCCUUC
This 408-nucleotide ribosomal RNA is filed under the name uncultured Gammaproteobacteria bacterium. RNAcentral's name for it is "bacterial SSU rRNA". It matches the Rfam family "Bacterial small subunit ribosomal RNA", at positions 9 to 419 of the family's 1533-position model. The record is from RNAcentral. Lineage: Bacteria; Pseudomonadati; Pseudomonadota; Gammaproteobacteria.